This 216-nucleotide ribosomal RNA is filed under the name uncultured bacterium. Its description in RNAcentral is "partial 16S ribosomal RNA". It matches the Rfam family "Bacterial small subunit ribosomal RNA", at positions 579 to 793 of the family's 1533-position model. The record is from RNAcentral.
CCUGUUAAGUCAGAUGUGAAAGCCCGGGGCUUAACCUCGGAAUUGCAUUUGAAACUGGCAGGCUAGAGUCUUGUAGAGGGGGGUAGAAUUUCAGGUGUAGCGGUGAAAUGCGUAGAGAUCUGAAGGAAUACCAGUGGCGAAGGCGGCCCCCUGGACAAAGACUGACGCUCAGACUGCGAAAGCGUGGGGAGCAAACAGGAUUAGAUACCCUGGUAG